GACGAACGCUGGCGGCGUGCCUAAUACAUGCAAGUCGAGCGGACUUUCAAGAAGCUUGCUUUUUGAAAGUUAGCGGCGGACGGGUGAGUAACACGUGGGCAACCUGCCUGCAAGACGGGGAUAACUCCGGGAAACCGGGGCUAAUACCGGAUAAUAUCUUCCUUCGCAUGAAGGAAGGUUGAAAGGCGGCGCACGCUGCCGCUUGCAGAUGGGCCCGCGGCGCAUUAGCUAGUUGGUGAGGUAACGGCUCACCAAGGCGACGAUGCGUAGCCGACCUGAGAGGGUGAUCGGCCACACUGGGACUGAGACACGGCCCAGACUCCUACGGGAGGCAGCAGUAGGGAAUCUUCCGCAAGGGACGAAAGUCUGACGGAGCAACGCCGCGUGAGCGAAGAAGGGCUUCGGAUCGUAAAGCUCUGUUGUCAGGGAAGAACAAGUACCGUUCGAACAGGGCGGUACCUUGACGGUACCUGACCAGAAAGCCACGGCUAACUACGUG
This 499-nucleotide ribosomal RNA is filed under the name uncultured bacterium. RNAcentral's name for it is "partial 16S ribosomal RNA". It matches the Rfam family "Bacterial small subunit ribosomal RNA", at positions 28 to 507 of the family's 1533-position model. The record is from RNAcentral.